AGGGUUAGUCGGGACCUAAGCCGAGGCCGAUAGGCGUAGGCGAUGGACAACAGGUAGAGAUUCCUGUACCAGUGCUAAUUGUUUAACCGAUGGGGUGACACAGAAGGAUAGGGAAUCGCACGAAUGGAAAUGUGCGUCCAAGCAGUGAGUGUGAGAAGUAGGCAAAUCCGCUUCUCGCGAAGCAUGAGCUGUGAUGGGGAAGGAAAUUAAGUACGGAAGUUCCUGAUUUCACGCUGUCAAGAAAAGCCUCUAGGAAGAGUAGUACUGCCCGUACCGCAAACCGACACAGGUAGAUGAGGAGAGAAUCCUAAGGUGAGCGAGAGAACUCUCGUUAAGGAACUCGGCAAAAUGACCCCGUAACUUCGGGAGAAGGGGUGCUCUAUUAGGGUGCAAGCCCGAGAGAGCCGCAGUGAAUAGGCCCAGGCGACUGUUUAGCAAAAACACAGGUCUCUGCAAAACCGUAAGGUGACGUAUAGGGGCUGACGCCUGCCCGGUGCUGGAAGGUUAAGAGGAGUGCUUAGCUUCGGCGAAGGUACGAAUUGAAGCCCCAGUAAACGGCGGCCGUAACUAUAACGGUCCUAAGGUAGCGAAAUUCCUUGUCGGGUAAGUUCCGACCCGCACGAAAGGCGCAACGAUCUGGGCACUGUCUCAACGAGAGACUCGGUGAAAUUAUAGUACCUGUGAAGAUGCAGGUUACCCGCGACAGGACGGAAAGACCCCGUGGAGCUUUACUGCAACCUGAUAUGGAAUGUUUGUACCGCUUGUACAGGAUAGGUAGGAGCCGAAGAGACGUGUGCGCUAGCAUACGAGGAGGCAAUGGUGGGAUACU
This 829-nucleotide ribosomal RNA is filed under the name Listeria monocytogenes. RNAcentral's name for it is "bacterial LSU rRNA". It matches the Rfam family "Bacterial large subunit ribosomal RNA", at positions 1376 to 2201 of the family's 2925-position model. The record is from RNAcentral. Lineage: Bacteria; Bacillati; Bacillota; Bacilli; Caryophanales; Listeriaceae.